AGAGUUUGAUCAUGGCUCAGGAUGAACGCUAGCUACAGGCUUAACACAUGCAAGUCGAGGGGCAGCAUUUUAGUUUGCUUGCAAACUGAAGAUGGCGACCGGCGCACGGGUGAGUAACACGUAUCCAACCUGCCGAUAACUCCGGAAUAGCCUUUCGAAAGAAAGAUUAAUACCGGAUGGCAUACGAAUAUCGCAUGAUAUUUUUAUUUAAAGAAUUUCGGUUAUCGAUGGGGAUGCGUUCCAUUAGUUUGUUGGCGGGGUAACGGCCCACCAAGACAACGAUGGAUAGGGGUUCUGAGAGGAAGGUCCCCCACCAUUGGAACUGAGACACGGUCCAAACUCCUACGGGAGGCAGCA
This 357-nucleotide ribosomal RNA is filed under the name uncultured bacterium. Its description in RNAcentral is "bacterial SSU rRNA". It matches the Rfam family "Bacterial small subunit ribosomal RNA", at positions 8 to 353 of the family's 1533-position model. The record is from RNAcentral.